RNAcentral lists this ribosomal RNA (777 nucleotides) under uncultured Neocallimastigales. RNAcentral describes it as "partial large subunit ribosomal RNA". It matches the Rfam family "Eukaryotic large subunit ribosomal RNA", at positions 22 to 645 of the family's 3401-position model. The record is from RNAcentral. Lineage: Eukaryota; Fungi; Neocallimastigomycota; Neocallimastigomycetes; Neocallimastigales.
UGUACACGCUGUGACUAGCAUAUCAAUAAGCGGAGGAAAAGAAACUAACAAGGAUUCCCUCAGUAACGGCGAGUGAAGCGGGAAGAGCUCAAAUUUGAAAUCUUAAAGGGUCACCUUUCACGAAUUGUAGUUUAAAGAAGUGUUUUCUGUUGACGAGUCUGGUAUAUAAGUUCUUUGGAAUAGGACAUCACUAGAGGGUGAGAAUCCCGUCUAUGAUUGCAUAUUUUUAGCUUUGUGAUACACUUUCAAAGAGUCGGAUUGUUUGGGAAUGCAGUCCAAAAUGGGUGGUAAAUUUCAUCUAAAGCUAAAUAUUGGCGAGAGACCGAUAGCGAACAAGUACCGUGAGGGAAAGAUGAAAAGAACUUUGAAAAGAGAGUUAAAUAGUACGUGAAAUUGUCAAAAGGGAAGCGUUUGACACCAGUGUUGUUUUCUGAAAAUCAACCUCUGUUAGCUUUAUGCAUGUUUGUUUAGACCUAAUCAGCUAUCUUGCAUGUUCUAUUGUUUGCAGUGGUGCACUUUUCAGUUUACAGGUCAACAUCAGUUUUUUUUACCGUAAAAAAGUUAAAGAAAGGUAGCUCAUGGCUCCGGUCGUGAGUGUUAUAGUCUUUUUCCUAUGCGGUAGGAGAGACUGAGGUCUGCAGUGUAGGCUAUUUGGCUAGAUACUCAGGUGCUAUGUGAUACCAUUUCAUAAACAACUUGUUGAUUAUGUUUUGUCUAUUGUAUACUCGCUUGUACUAUCAUACCUACGCUUAGGAUGUUGACGCAUGAGAUAUACGC